UAGGGAAUCUUCCGCAAUGGGCGAAAGCUUGACGGAGCAACGCCGCGUGAGUGAUGAAGGUCUUCGGAUCGUAAAACUCUGUUAUUAGGGAAGAACAAAUGUGUAAGUAACUAUGCACGUCUUGACGGUACCUAAUCAGAAAGCCACGGCUAACUACGUGCCAGCAGCCGCGGUAAUACGUAGGUGGCAAGCGUUAUCCGGAAUUAUUGGGCGUAAAGCGCGCGUAGGCGGUUUUUUAAGUCUGAUGUGAAAGCCCACGGCUCAACCGUGGAGGGUCAUUGGAAACUAGGAAACUUGAGUGCAGAAGAGGAAAGUGGAAUUCCAUGUGUAGCGAUGAAAUGCGCAGAGAUAUGGAGGAAAACCAGUGGCGAAGGCGACUUUCUGGUCUGUAACUGACGCUGAUGUGCGAAAGCGUGGGGAUCAAACAGG
RNAcentral lists this ribosomal RNA (429 nucleotides) under Actinomycetes bacterium. RNAcentral's name for it is "Actinobacteria bacterium partial 16S ribosomal RNA". It matches the Rfam family "Bacterial small subunit ribosomal RNA", at positions 355 to 776 of the family's 1533-position model. Lineage: Bacteria; Bacillati; Actinomycetota; Actinomycetes. The record is from RNAcentral.